GAAUAUGUUAGUUACUGUUAAACAGACUGAGCGUUUCAUUUUUUGUUUACGUUAUAUAUUUAAUACUGAAGUCUCACUACAAGAAUUUAUGGCAUUAGUGGGGACAGCAUUAGUGGCGACAUCCUAUAUGUCGCCGCUAAUGCUUAUAAUCCGUGUGCUCAUUACCUGAGUUGAUUUUGGCCGUUAUGACUUGAUGAAUCUAAGAGCUGACCAUUAUUCAUCCCCAAUUUCAUUUCCCUCCAAACAAGAUUGUCCCCAAUUAUUCAUUCCCCCCAAAACAAACCCUUCAUUGUCCCCAAUUUCUCUCCAAUCUGCAACCAUAUGAAGCCCCGCAUCUCCGACCACUUCCAGGCUACCUCCGUAUCUCCCACCACCUUCCGGCCACCUCCGCAUCUCCAACCAUCAUCAAUGUCUGACCCCACCUCCCGACCACUUCUGUGACGUCCGACCCCACUCCAACCACCGGCGACCCAACACCGACCAUCUUUGUCUGCAGGUUCCGACCAACUAUGGUGCUACGAGUGGAGGGGAGCAGAAGUUCAACAAGAUAUUUACGCUGCAAGAAUGUUUCACGCCAAGUGGACUGCUGGCCAAACACAUUUAGUAUGCUAACAGGCUUGCAUCUUGUUUGGCAAUUAAGGUAAUCUAUAUUCUAUAUUAGGGUACACUCCAUGGAAGAUGGGGCAUGGCUGGGUCUGAAUGAAGCCCUACAUCUUUUUUUCUCAUUGCUGCUCACACUGUGUUGAGUUUGUAUAACCACUUAGUACCUUACUACUUUAGCUUCUCAUAACAACUUUUAAUUCUCAUAACACUGUGUGUUGAGUUUGUAUAAACAAACUGUUAUGUAAUUUUUGGUUGUUUGAAUGUGAAUUAGUGUUUAAUUCUUUGUA
This is a long non-coding RNA of Helianthus annuus (common sunflower), 890 nucleotides long. RefSeq lists it as uncharacterized. NCBI's taxonomy places the organism in Eukaryota, Viridiplantae, Streptophyta, Magnoliopsida, Asterales, Asteraceae. The record is from RefSeq and is a predicted model, not a curated record. The transcript is spliced from 3 exons.